Molecule: ribosomal RNA, 120 nt
Filed under: uncultured bacterium
Lineage: Bacteria
Description: partial 16S ribosomal RNA
Rfam family: Bacterial small subunit ribosomal RNA
Source: RNAcentral
UCGCUAUUGGAUGAGCCUGCGUCGGAUUAGCUUGUUGGUGGGGUAAUGGCCUACCAAGGCGACGAUCCGUAACUGGUCUGAGAGGAUGAUCAGUCACACUGGAACUGAGACACGGUCCAG